ACGGAAGGCAGCAGUGGGGAAUAUUGCACAAUGGGGGAAACCCUGAUGCAGCGACGCCGCGUGAAGGAAGAAGUAUCUCGGUAUGUAAACUUCUAUCAGCAGGGAAGAAAAUGACGGUACCUGACUAAGAAGCCCCGGCUAACUACGUGCCAGCAGCCGCGGUAAUACGUAGGGGGCAAGCGUUAUCCGGAUUUACUGGGUGUAAAGGGAGCGUAGACGGAAUUGCAAGUCUGAUGUGAAAGGCAUGGGCGCAACCUGUGGACUGCAUUGGAAACUGUGAUUCUUGAGUGCCGGAGGGGUAAGCGGAAUUCCUGGUGUAGCGGUGAAAUGCGUAGAUAUCAGGAGGAACACCGGUGGCGAAGGCGGCUUACUGGACGGCAACUGACGUUGAGGCUCGAAGGCGUGGGGAGCAAACAGGAUUAGAUACCCUGGUA
Molecule: ribosomal RNA, 434 nt
Filed under: uncultured Blautia sp.
Lineage: Bacteria; Bacillati; Bacillota; Clostridia; Lachnospirales; Lachnospiraceae
Description: partial 16S ribosomal RNA
Rfam family: Bacterial small subunit ribosomal RNA
Source: RNAcentral